This 746-nucleotide non-coding RNA is filed under the name Pongo abelii (Sumatran orangutan). Lineage: Eukaryota; Metazoa; Chordata; Mammalia; Primates; Hominidae. The record is from RNAcentral.
AUUCUUACUUUAGACACUAUUCCCACUUGUUUGGUUAUCUAUAUUCUGAGCCCACAAAUCAGAGGCAUCAAGUUAAAAAAGCUGAACGCUUGUAGAAUGGCACUAUCCAAUAUGGUAGCCAGUAGCCCCAUGUGCCUAUUGAGCACUUAAAAUGUGGCCAGUCCUAACUGCAAUGUGCUGGCUAGGGGAUAAGAAUGCAGCAGUGAACAUGGUUCCUGCAGUCAUGAAGCAAAUGUAUCCACUGUGAUACAAAAGAGACUGUAAAAAACAAACCCAAAUGGACAACAGAGUUCUGAACCAUCCUGUGACAAGUCUAGCUACCCUAAAGCUGUCAUGCAGGAGAGAUCAUGUGGAGAGAAGGAGAGUUAGACAGAGGAGGAGCCCCUGCUGUUUGAGUAUUCUCAGCCUAGACACCAGACAUGAGUGAGGAAGCAUUCAGACCCCAACUCCAGUUUAAAAACACCACCACUCAACAGCCUGUUUUCUGAGCCUACGACCACAUAUAUGCUGCAGAACUCUUUCAGGGUGUAUCUGAAACUACUUCUCUUAAAGGCAAGCUGUAACUGGCGCCAGAAAAGACAGAAGCUGAUUGAGGUCCCAGCUUGGUAACAGUUUGAAGAGUUGCAGGACUGGCUGGAUGAGUACUGGCUGCAGCAAGUCAUGCUGCCAGGAUUCUUUAUGGCUGUUUCUGCUUCCACUACAGCUGAGUCAGAAAGGUCGCUGCCCAGUGGUGGCAGUAGAUGCAG